GACGAACGCUGGCGGCGUGCCUAAUACAUGCAAGUUGAGCGCUGAAGGUUGGUACUUGUACCAACUGGAUGAGCAGCGAACGGGUGAGUAACGCGUGGGGAAUCUGCCUUUGAGCGGGGGACAACAUUUGGAAACGAAUGCUAAUACCGCAUAAAAACUUUAAACACAAGUUUUAAGUUUGAAAGAUGCAAUUGCAUCACUCAAAGAUGAUCCCGCGUUGUAUUAGCUAGUUGGUGAGGUAAAGGCUCACCAAGGCGAUGAUACAUAGCCGACCUGAGAGGGUGAUCGGCCACAUUGGGACUGAGAAACGGCCCAAACUCCUACGGGAGGCAGCAGUAGGGAAUCUUCGGCAAUGGACGAAAGUCUGACCGAGCAACGCCGCGGGAGUGAAGAAGGUUUUCGGAUCGUAAAACUCUGUUGGUAGAGAAGAACGUUGGUGAGAGUGGAAAGCUCAUCAAGUGACGGUAACUACCCAGAAAGGGACGGCUAACUACGUG
Molecule: ribosomal RNA, 497 nt
Filed under: uncultured bacterium
Lineage: Bacteria
Description: partial 16S ribosomal RNA
Rfam family: Bacterial small subunit ribosomal RNA
Source: RNAcentral